AGGUAUAAAAUACCCCCAGCUGAAGUUUGUAAAAGGCCGACCCUUUCAGGGCUUUUCCGACUUUCGACCUUAUGUGGCAUCUUUCUGAACCCCCUUGACCGUUCGAGCUUCGAUAAUACCAUUCAUACUUCUCUGACAAUGAGCUUCUCCAUUCAUUUACUGGAUUGCUCCAAAUGCCCUCUGAGCUCCGCUAUCAGCCGAUUGUCUAC
Molecule: long non-coding RNA, 209 nt
Filed under: Elaeis guineensis (African oil palm)
Lineage: Eukaryota; Viridiplantae; Streptophyta; Magnoliopsida; Arecales; Arecaceae
Description: long non-coding RNA (EGUI_LNC037904)
Source: RNAcentral